CGGACGGGUGAGUAACGCGUGGGUAACCUGCCAUAUACAGGGGGAUAACAGCGAGAAAUUGCUGCUAAAACCGCAUAAGCGCACGGAGUCGCAUGACUCAGUGUGAAAAACUCCGGUGGUGUAAGAUGGACCCGCGUCUGAUUAGCUUGUUGGCGGGGUAACGGCCCACCAAGGCGACGAUCAGUAGCCGGCCUGAGAGGGUGGACGGCCACAUUGGGACUGAGACACGGCCCAAACUCCUACGGAAGGCAGCAG
Molecule: ribosomal RNA, 255 nt
Filed under: uncultured bacterium
Lineage: Bacteria
Description: partial 16S ribosomal RNA
Rfam family: Bacterial small subunit ribosomal RNA
Source: RNAcentral